UUAGCCCUAAACUCAGACAGUUAACUAAACAAAACUGUCCGCCAGAGAACUACUAGCAACAGCUUAAAACUCAAAGGACUUGGCGGUGCUUUACAUCCCUCUAGAGGAGCCUGUUCUAUAAUCGAUAAACCCCGAUAUACCUCACCACCCCUUGCUAAUUCAGUCUAUAUACCGCCAUCCUCAGCAAACCCUAAAAAGGAAGAAAAGUAAGCACAAAUAUCCUUACAUAAAAAA
This 234-nucleotide ribosomal RNA is filed under the name Nandinia binotata (African palm civet). Its description in RNAcentral is "partial 12S small subunit ribosomal RNA". The record is from RNAcentral. Lineage: Eukaryota; Metazoa; Chordata; Mammalia; Carnivora; Nandiniidae.